CAGUAGCCGCGGGAAAACGAAGGGUGCAAGCGUUACUCGGAAUUACUGGGCGUAAAGCGUGCGUAGGUGGUGGUUUAAGUCCGUUGUAAAAGCCCUGGGCUCAACCUGGGAAUUGCAGUGGAUACUGGGUCACUAGAGUGUGGUAGAGGAUAGUGGAAUUUCCGGUGUAGCAGUGAAAUGCGUAGAGAUCGGAAGGAACAUCUGUGGCGAAGGCGACUAUCUGGGCCAACACUGACACUGAGGCACGAAAGCGUGGGGAGCAAACAGGAUUAGAUACCCCAGUAGUCCCUGUCUCUUAUAC
RNAcentral lists this ribosomal RNA (301 nucleotides) under uncultured bacterium. Its description in RNAcentral is "partial 16S ribosomal RNA". It matches the Rfam family "Bacterial small subunit ribosomal RNA", at positions 509 to 807 of the family's 1533-position model. The record is from RNAcentral.